AAGUCGUAACAAGGUCUCCGUUGGUGAACCAGCGGAGGGAUCAUUACUGAGUACUACACUCUCUACCCUUUGUGAACUAUUAUACCUGUUGCUUCGGCGGCGCCCGCAAGGGUGCCCGCCGGUCUCAUCAGAAUCUCUGUUUUCGAACCCGACGAUACUUCUGAGUGUUCUUAGCGAACUGUCAAAACUUUUAACAACGGAUCUCUUGGCUCCAGCAUCGAUGAAGAACGCAGCGAAACGCGAUAUGUAAUGUGAAUUGCAGAAUUCAGUGAAUCAUCGAAUCUUUGAACGCACAUGGCGCCUUCCAGUAUCCUGGGAGGCAUGCCUGUCCGAGCGUCGUUUCAACCCUCGAGCCCCUGUGGCCCGGCGUUGGGGAUCUGCCACGGCAGGCCCCUAAAACCAGGUGGCGGACCCGAAGGGCCCUCUCCUUUGCGCAGUAGCAUUCGCCUCGCAUCGGGAGUCCUCGGCGUCCUGCCUCUAAACCCCCCACAAGCCCGCUUCGGCGGCACCAAGGUUGACCUCGGAUCAGGUAGGAAUACCCGCUGAACUUAA
Molecule: ribosomal RNA, 552 nt
Filed under: uncultured fungus
Lineage: Eukaryota; Fungi
Description: eukaryotic LSU rRNA
Rfam family: 5.8S ribosomal RNA (bases 186-339)
Source: RNAcentral